This 276-nucleotide ribosomal RNA is filed under the name uncultured bacterium. Its description in RNAcentral is "partial 16S ribosomal RNA". It matches the Rfam family "Bacterial small subunit ribosomal RNA", at positions 77 to 353 of the family's 1533-position model. The record is from RNAcentral.
CAAACUGGAGAUGGCGACCGGCGCACGGGUGAGUAACACGUAUCCAACCUGCCGAUAACUCGGGGAUAGCCUUUCGAAGGAAAGAUUAAUACCCGAUGGCAUAAUAGAACCGCAUGGUUUGAUUAUUAAAGAAUUUCGGUUAUCGAUGGGGAUGCGUUCCAUUAGGCAGUUGGUGGGGUAACGGCCCACCAAACCUUCGAUGGAUAGGGGUUCUGAGAGGAAGGUCCCCCACAUUGGAACUGAGACACGGUCCAAACUCCUACGGGAGGCAGCAUG